CUCCUUCGGAGUCCGCAUUGUAAUUUGCAGAGGAUGCUUUGGGUGCGGCCCCCGUCUAAGUGCCCUGGAACGGGCCGUCAGAGAGGGUGAGAAUCCCGUCUUGGGCGGGGUGUCCGUGCCCGUGUAAAGCUCCUUCGACGAGUCGAGUUGUUUGGGAAUGCAGCUCUAAAUGGGUGGUAAAUUUCAUCUAAAGCUAAAUACUGGCCGGAGACCGAUAGCGCACAAGUAGAGUGAUCGAAAGAUGAAAAGCACUUUGAAAAGAGAGUUAAACAGCACGUGAAAUUGUUGAAAGGGAAGCGCUUGCGACCAGACUCGCCCGCGGGGUUCAGCCGGCAUUCGUGCCGGUGUACUUCCCCGUGGGCGGGCCAGCGUCGGUUUGGGCGGCCGGUCAAAGGCCCCUGGAAUGUAGUGCCCUCCGGGGCACCUUAUAGCCAGGGGUGCAAUGCGGCCAGCCUGGACCGAGGAACGCGCUUCGGCACGGACGCUGGCAUAAUGGUCGUAAACGACCCGUCUUGAAAACGGGACCAAAA
This 530-nucleotide ribosomal RNA is filed under the name Aspergillus niger. Its description in RNAcentral is "partial large subunit ribosomal RNA". It matches the Rfam family "Eukaryotic large subunit ribosomal RNA", at positions 126 to 664 of the family's 3401-position model. Lineage: Eukaryota; Fungi; Ascomycota; Eurotiomycetes; Eurotiales; Aspergillaceae. The record is from RNAcentral.